RNAcentral lists this ribosomal RNA (439 nucleotides) under uncultured bacterium. RNAcentral describes it as "partial 16S ribosomal RNA". It matches the Rfam family "Bacterial small subunit ribosomal RNA", at positions 339 to 795 of the family's 1533-position model. The record is from RNAcentral.
CUACGGGUGGCUCCAGUGAGGAAUAUUGCACAAUGGGGGGAACCCUGAUGCAGCAACGCCGCGUGGAGGAUGACGCAUUUCGGUGUGUAAACUCCUUUUAUAUGUCAAGAAAAUGACGGUAGCAUAUGAAUAAGCACCGGCUAACUCCGUGCCAGCAGCCGCGGUAAUACGGAGGGCGCAAGCGUUACUCGGAAUCACUGGGCGUAAAGGACGCGUAGGCGGGUUGAAAAGUCAGGUGUGAAAGCCUACAGCUUAACUGUAGAACUGCACUUGAAACUCUCAACCUAGAGUAUGGGAGGGGCAGAUGGAAUUAGUGGUGUAGGGGUAAAAUCCGUAGAUAUCACUAGGAAUACCUAAAGCGAAGGCGAUCUGCUGGAACAUUACUGACGCUAAGGCGUGAAAGCGUGGGGAGCAAACAGGAUUAGAUACCCGGGUAGUC